CCAGAACUGAGCAACUUCCUCAGUCAGAGGAACAGAUGAAAGCCUGAAUGGCAAUGCUGCAGGUGCUUGCUAGUGUUUUGAGAUCUACUUCACUGGACCUAUACACUUACUUCCCAGCUGAUAAUGAAACAGGAGAGAGACGGCUGAUGCCCCAAAAGGGCCCACAACCUGUGUGUAACAGUGACUUCAAAAGUAGAUCCUCCCAGCCAGAUGUGGUGGCGCACACCAGUAAUCUCAGCACUCAGAGGCUAAGGU
Molecule: long non-coding RNA, 255 nt
Filed under: Fukomys damarensis (Damara mole-rat)
Lineage: Eukaryota; Metazoa; Chordata; Mammalia; Rodentia; Bathyergidae
Description: lncRNA (ENSFDAG00000023722.1)
Source: RNAcentral